AGCGAACGCUGGCGGCAGGCUUAACACAUGCAAGUCGAGCGCCCCGCAAGGGGAGCGGCAGACGGGAGAGUAACACGUGGGAACAUACCUUUUGGUUCGGAACAACUGAGGGAAACUUCAGCUAAUACCGGAUAAGCCCUUACGGGGAAAGAUUUAUCGCCGAAAGAUUGGCCCGCGUCUGAUUAGCUAGUUGGUGAGGUAACGGCUCACCAAGGCGACGAUCAGUAGCUGGUCUGAGAGGAUGAUCAGCCUCACUGGGACUGAGACACGGCCCAGACUCCUACGGGAGGCAGCAGUGGGGAAUAUUGGACAAUGGGGGCAACCCUGAUCCAGCCAUGCCGCGUGAGUGAUGAAGGCCUUAGGGUUGUAAAGCUCUUUUGCCCGGUAAGAUAAUGACGGUACCGGGAGAAUAAGCCCCGGCUAACUUCGUG
RNAcentral lists this ribosomal RNA (431 nucleotides) under uncultured bacterium. RNAcentral's name for it is "partial 16S ribosomal RNA". It matches the Rfam family "Bacterial small subunit ribosomal RNA", at positions 29 to 507 of the family's 1533-position model. The record is from RNAcentral.